ACAAAAGUCCUUCUACUUCUAUUUGAGGUGAAAAUUAUGAAUCAGACACAUAAUCGAUAGCAACAGCUCAUGGUCCUCCUGGAAUCAGAAGUUUGUUUGACUCAAUGGAGGAACGUAGUCAGAGAAAUGCUGAUGAAUGUCUUGCUCGAGCCGUGUAUGCAACUGGUUUACCUCUGAUCCUCACAGGUAAUGUGUAUUGGAAGAGAUUUCUGAUUGGUCUUCACCCAGCAUAUACCCCUCCAACCAGACAUGCUUUAUCUACUCAUUUGCUGAAUGCAGAGUUCAACAGAGUUCAAGUGAAGGUCAAGCAAAUCAUAGAGAAAGCAGACUGUACUGCAAUCAUCUCUGAUGGGUGGUCGAAUGUUCGUGGGCAAGGAAUAAUGAACUACAUCAUCUCCACCCCUCAACCAGUAUUCUACAAGAGCACAGACACAAGGGACAACAGACACACCGGUCUCUACAUUGCAGAUGAGCAUAAGGCAGUCAUCAAUGACCUUGGACCACAGAAGGCAUUUGCACUGGUGACAGACAAUGCUGCGAACAUGAAGGCUGCUUGGUCGAAAGUGGAGGAGUCCUACCCUCACGUCACACCCAUUGGCUGUGCUGCUCAUGCAUUGAAUUGGUUAGGUAUGUGAAGAGUCUACAAGUUAUAACAGCAAUCUACCUCACCAAGUAAAAUGAGAAGAAUAAGAGCACCACAUUAAAGCUGCCCAGCAACACCCGUUGGGGUGGUGUUGUCAUCAUGUUUGACAGUCUCCUGGAGGGGAAGGAGUCUCUCCAAGAAAUGGCCAUAUCACAGUCUGCCAAUAUUUACAGCUCCAUCAAGAGGAUCCUCCUGGAUGAUGUAUUUUGGGAGAGAGUGACUCUGCUUGCAGAUCUAAGAGAAGAAAUCCGUACUGCCCUGCCCACUUCACUGUUGCUCCAAGCAGAGGAAACUGCAGUUUUGGAAGCCUGAGAGGAAGACAACCAAAGCUUUAGUUUCUUGUCUAUCAUUUUACAGAUGUAUGUUGAAAACGUUUUUGGGAGAUGCGAUCGAUCAUUGGGGAUCAUUCAAUAUUCCCUUUCUUUUGUUGUUCAUUGAAAUCAUCCCAUGGGAAGAGUCAACUCAUUUAACUAAAGUAAAUUCAUAACUAAAUUGUUUUUAAAAAUGUAUAUUGGAAAGAUUUGAUCAUUAUCAAUUACACUGCUGUUCAAAAGUUUGGGGUCACUUAGAAAUGUACUUGUUUUUGAAAGAAAAUCACUUUUUUUGUCCAUUAAAAUAACAUCAAAUUCAUCUGAAAUACAGUGUAGACAUUGUUAAUGUUGUAAAUGACUAUUGUAGCUGGAAACGGUUGAUUUUUUCAUGGAAUAUCUACAUAGGCGUACAGAGGCCCCUUAUCAGCAACCAUCACUCCUGUUUUAAGGGUUAAGGUUUCUG
This 1417-nucleotide long non-coding RNA is filed under the name Salmo salar (Atlantic salmon). RNAcentral describes it as "lncRNA (ENSSSAG00000094648.1)". The record is from RNAcentral. Lineage: Eukaryota; Metazoa; Chordata; Actinopteri; Salmoniformes; Salmonidae.